CUAAGUAUGUGAGGCCCAGUUGUACACUAUUGUGCUUGGACAAAGUCGGCCUGUGGUUUCAUUGAACCUGAUGGGAGACCAGCAACGUGACCACCUGUGUCUCUUAUCAUGUUACAUAUGUGCAUGUGAACACAUGCACGCACAGAGUAAUCUUUAAGUGAGAAUCUAGGUCAGUGUUGCAACCAGGAGUACAGCAGGGCAGGAGUGAAAUCCUGGUGCGAGGAGGAGCGAAACUAACCCAGGUGUGUUUUGAUGGUGGUGGAGAGCACUGUCUAACAAGUCGCUCCAGAAUGUCCCAUGGCUUUUUAACUGGGUUGGAAUCUGAUGACUGCGAAGGCCACAGCAGAGGAGUCACAUCAUCUUCAUACACACUGGUUAAUUUGGUGACCUCCUCAUGCCCUGGGUCAGAGAAGGUAGAGCGAGGUGCGACCGCCUCUCCGCUCGCCGGCUCUCUCUGUUGAUUCAUAGAUUGAGCUCAGAAUCGGGGCCUGAACAAGAGCCAGGGGCCAGUGUUAGUAAACUGUGGAGAGACCAAGGGAAGUACCUCAUCCGACACACACACACACACAGCUGAGGGUUCACACUGUGUGAAUGUGCAAUGAGUGUGUAUGUGCAAUGCAAAAGAUUCUACUUCUACAUUGCUCAUACACGCGCACAUGCACACACGCCGUGCGCUGAAGAGCCACAAGCACUGGUGGUAAACACUCAGGCCUCUCACAAGAUGCUCUGUAAAUAUUUACAGCUCGGCAGGCGUUGAAGGGAGAGGAACAUGGCAGACCGUGCAGCGCCGGGCCGAACGUGACCGGCCUCAGCCAACUCCCUCCACCCCACGCAUCUCCACCUCCUCCAACCCCCAUCGCCGCUGACCAUCACCGGACUUCAAAUCCACUGGGCAAACAACAUAACCUUAUUCGGCAUCUGUGCGCUGUGGCUUUACCUUGGCUUACCUUGCGGCAGCUGGAGGGGGGGGGGUCACCUCAGCUGAGCAUGGGGCCCAGAGGCUGCUUCCUGAAAAUAAAGUGAAGAUUAUGUUUUUAGCUCCUCACAAUAAAAGAGACGGUGGUAAA
Molecule: long non-coding RNA, 1067 nt
Organism: Lates calcarifer (barramundi perch)
Lineage: Eukaryota; Metazoa; Chordata; Actinopteri; Centropomidae
Exons: 3
Source: RefSeq, a predicted model, not a curated record